Molecule: long non-coding RNA, 2890 nt
Filed under: Equus caballus (horse)
Lineage: Eukaryota; Metazoa; Chordata; Mammalia; Perissodactyla; Equidae
Description: lncRNA (ENSECAG00000039237.3)
Source: RNAcentral
GGGCAAGGUCUGGGACUCCUGUCCCAGAGAAGUUGAUCUAAAAAGCGCUUGGUCUCUCCUAAGGAAGAGCUGUUCUUGCUUCUGUGUGUGUGUGUGUGUGUGUGUGUGUGUUGAGAGGAUGGUAUACUGGGAGGUCCUGCUUUGGCCCAGGAGGAACUAGGAGAGAACCAUACAGAGGCUGAAGUCCUUCUUUCCCUUGAUGCUCAUGGGUAACACUCAGGCUGGGAAGAUGUAGAAGCACAUAAUGUCCUCAAGAGGAGGAAGAAAAUUUCCCACCAUUGUUCCACAGGUACAGAGACCUCUCAUUCCUUCCUGGCAGCUGGAAAAACCAAAAGCUUGACCUGAUCCAUAAGUGUAAACAGAGUUGAGAGCAGGUAAGGAAAAAAAUACGUGUAAGGAGAACCAGCAACUAGAGGACAACCAAGGACACCCAGAAGUAGUUCUCAGGAAAACAGAACUUUUAGAAAAGACAGAAGUCAACUUUGACGAAAACAACAAUAGUAGGAGCAAAAAUUCAAGGAGACUUUAUCAUAGCAUAGGAAAGAUUUUUCUAGUACCUCACCCCCCCAAAAAAAAUCAAUAUAUCAACUAAAAAUGAGAAUAAUCACUUGUUGAGAACCAAAUUAGCAGCAUAGGAAAUCAAACAGAAGAAAUAUUUUAAAAUAGAGCAGAAAUAUAAAGUAAUUAAAAUGAAAAUUGUGGCUCUUCUCCCAAAAAUAUAUCUGAAAAUAAAGCUAUAUCUGAAAAUAAAAUUUUGUGUAAACUUUCAAGGAUUUGCAGAUGCACCUAAAGUAUAUCUGUGGACCCUAUGACAUAAAAAUGCAACUGAAGAUGAAAAUCCAGUUUAAAACAUGGUUUUAACUUAAAAAAUAAACGAGUCUGUCUAAGCAUCAGGAUGUCUCUCGUUACCCAAAAGCUCUCUCCAGGCCGUCGGUCUGCUCUUGCCCGGACCCUCAGACCUAUCCCUUCUGACAAUGGCCAAGAGUGGUGGGGACUGCAUUUACUGUUGGGUCCGUUAUAAGUAAGCAGGCUUCCCCACUGGAGAGCGGGGUGUAGAGAAGCUCUCCUGUCUUUUCUGAGAGGCCUUGGAGAACACUGCCCCCCGGCCUUUCGGCUGCUUUCCUGCCUCUCACUCCCCAGUCGUCUCAUCCGACAUGGCAGCACCCACAGUUGCCCCGACAGUUAGAUGAGUCUUUGCGAGGAAGGGCCUGAGUCGCCCUCCCCUCCACGUCACAUCUGUGUCUGCGCAUUCUCCGUAAAUCCUCCAUCAUCUAUACUUCCGCCUUCCAUCGUGGCUUUCCUGCAAGCAGUUUACUGAAGAAUUCUAUAGAGAUUUGUAAUUAAAGUUGCAUCCAUGUGGCACAGCUGAGAUUCAAACUCUGACUUCAAAUCCAGUUCUGAAGACUGGGAAAGCCAAGAUCAAGGUGUCAGGAGAUCCAGUGUCUGAAGAACCUCAAGAAAAAACCAUGCUGUUUCUUUCAAUGAUGAUCUAGUCUGGUGGAAACUGAACUUGCCACCUGAUAUCCCCACCGUCCGUGUAAGCGUUGUCCCUGAAGUACUUGAGGGCUCCCAAGGUGCCUGCCCUCCUCCUGCUUCGCCAGGGGUCCUCGGAACAAGUGCCCUAUUUCGUCUCCAUGGUACGACCUGCGAAACGGAGGUUACACAUUGGUUUUACACGUUGAGAAGGAGUGGUUGUGAAGGAGGAGGAAAAGGAAGGGAGAGCAGGGGGCAGAGAGAAGACAAAGGUUUGGGCCCUGCAGCCUGACGUGGGUCAGCAAGUGCUCUCGCCCAGGCCUCUGCCCCGGGAGCUGGACCCACGGCCAGGAUCUUGUCCCUGCAAGGCCAGCGUGCCCCGAAACCUGGCCUGAGGAGGACAUCAAUGGAAAUUCACACAACAGGAUGGUAAACAUGAUAAGUUGCUCGUAGUGGAAUUGCUGGGCCAAAGGGUAUUUUUAAGCCUUAAUUCCUAUCACCAAAUGGCUCUCCAAAAAGCUUUUACAUUUGGACGCUCCUGCCAUCGGAUCCUGCGAACAUCUGUUUCCACAUGCUGGUCCUCCUCUCCUCUCUCCACUUGGGCCAUGGCAUUCUUCAUAUGCUUUGUUGAUCUGGAAAAGAGAAGCUAAAUGAUAUUACUCAUUGUCAGCAAGAGUGAGGCCGAGGUGGGCUAGCCCAUAUUUGCAUAAAUCAGUAUUUCUCUGGUGCACACAGAUAAUAUCUGUCAAAAAGCUGUCUUUAGUAACCAUGUAGCUCUUGCACAGUUGGGUGGUUUAGCUAAGGAUACAAGAAAGACUACAUCUUAGGGUGUGGCUGAACCACCUGAGGGAACGAGCCUGGAUCCUUGAAUCACUGCAUGGGCAGAGAAGAAGGCACUUCCAGACAUGAAUACCCUGUGGCCUCAUAUGUGCAUAAGAGAGAAACCUGUGUUCUGUUCAGCCGCUGAAAUUUGAAGAUUUACUUAUUACAGCAGCAAAAAUUAUUCUAGUGCAUACACUCCCGUACCUACUUUGUGCUUCAGCAGUAACAACCGAUGUGCAAUUUCCCAGGUCAGCUGUGCAGCACUUCCACGUGUUUCUGCACGCUGAUCUCUCUGCUUUUGAUACCUAAUUUUCUCCAGUCUCCUAAUUCUAUCUAGUCUCUCUCCUUUCUGACCCUUUGGCCUUGAUCAGCUUGUAUUAAUCCUUAAAAUCCCAGUUCCUAAGCUUCUGUGAAGCACUGUUAUGACAGUGGGCCCCAUUCCUGCCAUGGACUUCCUGAGUUUGUCCAGAAUUCCACUUUAGCACAUGUCACAAUAUUUUAAAAUUCUCUGUUUAUAAAUAUGUCAACCUUACAACAUAGACAUUUGCCGUGUUUCUACACUUCAAAUCUCUUAGAAGAGUGGUGCUACAUAAGA